This 1475-nucleotide ribosomal RNA is filed under the name uncultured Microgenomates group bacterium. RNAcentral describes it as "uncultured Microgenomates bacterium 16S ribosomal RNA". It matches the Rfam family "Bacterial small subunit ribosomal RNA". The record is from RNAcentral.
GAGUUUGAUCAUGGCUCAGGAUGAACGUUGGCGGCGUGCCUGAGAUAUGCAAGUCGAGCGAUCCCGCCUUUGGCGGGAAGCGGCGAACGGCUGAGUAAUACGUAGGAACCUGCCCCUAAGUCGAGGAUAGUCCGCCGAAAGGCGGAGUAAUACUCGAUAGUCCCCGCUUAAUUUGGUGGGGUAAAGGAUCUAACCGUCCGCUUAGGGAGGGGCCUGCGGCCUAUCAGGUAGUUGGUAGGGUAACGGCCUACCAAGCCGAUGACGGGUAGCUGGCCUUAUGAGGGUGGUCAGCCAGAGGGGGACUGAGACACGGCCCCCACUCCUACGGGAGGCAGCAAUCAGGAAUCGUCGGCAAUGGGCGAAAGCCUGACCGCGCGACGCCGCGUGCGGGAAGAAGCUCUUCGGAGUGUAAACCGCUGUGGUAGGGGAGGAAGCCCCGCCGUUGGCGGGGUUGACAGUACCCUACUAGAAAGGGGCCGCUAACUGCGUGCCAGAAGCGUCGGUAAUACGUGGGCCCCAAACGUUAUCCGGUGUCACUGGGCGUAAAGGGUCGUGUAGGCGUCCCGUCAAGUUUUACCUCAAAGACUAUGGCUCAACCAUAGGAAGGGGUAAAAAACUGACGGGAUAGAAUUCCCUCAAGGGGGACGGGAACUUGCGGAGGAGCAGUGAAAUGCGUUGAUACCGCAGGGAACACCAGUGGCGAAGGCGCGUCCCUUCGAGGGAAUUGACGCUGAGACACGAAAGCUAGGGGAGCGAAGCAGAUUAGAGACCUGCGUAGUCCUAGCCGUAAACGCAUGUCUGCUAGCUGUGCUUUUCCUCGCCGAUUGGCGGGGUUGGGCAUGGCGAAGGUAACCCGUUAAGCAGACCGCCUGGGGACUACGGCCGCAAGGCUAAAACUCAAAGGAAUUGGCGGGGAGGCACACAACCAGUGGAACAUGUGGUUCAAUUCGAGACGAACCGAAGAACCUCACCAGGGCUUGACAUGCUACCGUUUACCCGAAAGGAAACUUUCGGGGAUCCGCAAGGAUGGUAGCACAGGUGCUGCAUGGCUGUCGUCAGCUCGUUCCGUGAGGAGUGCCCUUAAGUGGGACAACGAGCGCAACCCCCGUCCUGUGUUAGAAAUGUCACAGGAGACAGUCCCGCCUAUUGGCGGGAAGGAAGGAGGGGUAGACGUCAAGUCAGCAUGGCCCUUAUGCCCUGGGCUACACACAUGUUACAAUGGGAAGGACAGCGGGCUUUGCCACACCGUAAGGUGGAGCGAAUCCCUCAAACCUUCCCCAAGUUGGGAUUGAGGUCUGCAACUCGACCUCAUGAACGCGGAAUUGGUAGUAAUCGCGGAUCAGUCAUGCCGCAGUGAAUACGUUCUUGCCUCUUGCACACACCGCCCGUCAAGCCAACAAAGUCGGGGAUGGUUGAACUCCGCCUGUGGCGGGGGAAAUCAUUCCCGGCGAUGGGGGUUAAGUCGUAACAAGGUA